Molecule: unclassified non-coding RNA, 253 nt
Filed under: uncultured Kofleriaceae bacterium
Lineage: Bacteria; Pseudomonadati; Myxococcota; Haliangiales; Kofleriaceae
Description: contains 16S-23S intergenic spacer region
Rfam family: Bacterial small subunit ribosomal RNA
Source: RNAcentral
UACGGAGGGUGCAAACGUUGCUCGGAAUCAUUGGGCGUAAAGCGCACGUAGGCGGUUACGUAAGUCGGGUGUGAAAGCCCUAGGCUCAACCAAGGAAGUGCAUUCGAAACUGCGUAACUUGAGUACGGGAGAGGUUCGCGGAAUUCCCGGUGUAGAGGUGAAAUUCGUAGAUAUCGGGAGGAACACCAGAGGCGAAGGCGGCGGACUGGACCGAUACUGACGCUGAGGUGCGAAAGCGUGGGGAGCAAACAGG